CGGCUGCUCAGUAACACGUAGUCAACUUACCCUAUGGACGAGGAUAAUCUCGGGAAACUGAGCAUAAUACUCGAUAGAUCAUAAUGCCUGGAAUGGUUUAUGGUUGAAAUGAUUCAUCGCCAUAGGAUGGGACUGCGGCCUAUCAGCUUGUUGGUGAGGUAAUGGCCCACCAAGGCGAUUACAGGUACGGGCUCUGAGAGGAGAAGCCCGGAGAUGGGUACUGAGACAAGGACCCAGGCCCUAUGGGGCGCAGCAGGCGAGAAAACUUUGCAAUGUGCGAAAGCACGACAAGGUUAAUCCGAGUGAUUUCUGCUAAAGAAAUCUUUUGCAAGUCAUAAAACCACUAGUGAAUAAGGGGUGGGCAAGUUCUGGUGUCAGCCGCCGCGGUAAAACCAGCACCUCAAGUGGUCAGGAGGAUUAUUGGGCCUAAAGCAUCCGUAGCCGGCUCUGUAAGUUUACGGUUAAAUCCAUGUGCUCAACGCAUGGGCUGCCGAAAAUACUGCAUAGCUAGGGAGUGGGAGAGGUAGACGGUACUCGGUAGGAAGGGGUAAAAUCCUUUGAUCUAUCGAUGACCACCUGUGGCGAAGGCGGUCUACCAGAACACGUUCGACGGUGAGGGAUGAAAGCUGGGGGAGCAAACCGGAUUAGAUACCCGGGUAGUCCCAGCUGUAAACGAUGCAGACUCGAUGAUGCAUUGGCAUAUAGCCAGUGCAGUGUCGCAGGGAAGCCGUUAAGUCUGCCGCCUGGGAAGUACGUACGCAAGUAUGAAACUUAAAGGAACUGGCGGGGGAGCAG
RNAcentral lists this ribosomal RNA (795 nucleotides) under uncultured marine thaumarchaeote. Its description in RNAcentral is "bacterial SSU rRNA". It matches the Rfam family "Archaeal small subunit ribosomal RNA", at positions 83 to 879 of the family's 1478-position model. Lineage: Archaea; Thermoproteati; Nitrososphaerota. The record is from RNAcentral.